This 460-nucleotide ribosomal RNA is filed under the name uncultured bacterium. RNAcentral describes it as "partial 16S ribosomal RNA". It matches the Rfam family "Bacterial small subunit ribosomal RNA", at positions 338 to 795 of the family's 1533-position model. The record is from RNAcentral.
CCUACGGGUGGCAGCAGUGAGGAAUAUUGGUCAAUGGACGAGAGUCUGAACCAGCCAAGUAGCGUGAAGGAUGACUGCCCUAUGGGUUGUAAACUUCUUUUAUAUGGGAAUAAAAUGUUCCACGUGUGGGAUUUUGUAUGUACCCUAUGAAUAAGGAUCGGCUAACUCCGUGCCAGCAGCCGCGGUAAUACGGAGGAUCCGAGCGUUAUUCGGAUUUCUUGGGUUUAAAGGGAGCGUAGGUGGGUUGUUAAGUCAGUUGUGAAAGUGUGCGGCUUAACCGUAAAAUCGCAGUUGAAACUGGCAGUCUUGAGUACAGUAGAGGUAGGCGGAAUUCGUGGUGUAGCGGUGAAAUGCUUAGAUAUCACGAAGAACUCCGAUUGCGAAGGCAGUUCACUGGACUGCAACUGACACUGAGGCUCGAAAGUGUGGGUAUCAAACAGGAUUAGAUACCCUUGUAGUC